RNAcentral lists this long non-coding RNA (347 nucleotides) under Sarcophilus harrisii (Tasmanian devil). Its description in RNAcentral is "lncRNA (ENSSHAG00000030143.1)". Lineage: Eukaryota; Metazoa; Chordata; Mammalia; Dasyuromorphia; Dasyuridae. The record is from RNAcentral.
CUUGGGGAUAGAACCCAGGGAGGAAUAAAGAAACCCACUUUUCUACAGUCACAUAGAAAGUCAUAAAUAGCAGCAAAAUUGAAUUUCUAAGGCACCAGGAGAAUGAGGAGAAGCUUGUGGCUGACUUGAAUCCCUCAGAUGAUUUUGUUUUAUGAAGGAUGGGAUGAAAAUGUCAGAGUACACGGAAAACAUCUUAGUUCUUCCCAUCUCCAGUGGGAUCAUUCAAAUCCUGCCCCAGGUCCUGUUGAGCUAGUGCUGAUGCCCCAGGAAGAGGAGCAAAGAUCUACAUCUCCAAACAUAAUCUCCAUAUCAUGGAACAAAACUGGCCAGGAGUUUGAAUUUCUGGG